AUUGAACGCUGGCGGCAGGCUUAACACAUGCAAGUCGAGCGGAGUGAUGGUGCUUGCACUAUCACUUAGCGGCGGACGGGUGAGUAAUGCUUAGGAAUCUGCCUAUUAGUGGGGGACAACAUCUCGAAAGGGAUGCUAAUACCGCAUACGUCCUACGGGAGAAAGCAGGGGAUCACUUGUGACCUUGCGCUAAUAGAUGAGCAUAAGUCGGAUUAGCUAGUUGGUGGGGUAAAGGCCUACCAAGGCGACGAUCUGUAGCGGGUCGGGGAGGAUGAUCCGCCACACUGGGACUGAGACACGGCCCAGACUCCUACGGGAGGCAGCAGUGGGGAAUAUUGGACAAUGGGGGGAACCCUGAUCCAGCCAUGCCGCGUGUGUGAAGAAGGCCUUAUGGUUGUAAAGCACUUUAAGCGAGGAGGAGGCUCUUUUGGUUAAUACCCAAGAUGAGUGGACGUUACUCGCAGAAUAAGCACCGGCUAACUCUGUGCCAGCCGCCGCGGUAA
RNAcentral lists this ribosomal RNA (503 nucleotides) under uncultured bacterium. RNAcentral's name for it is "partial 16S ribosomal RNA". It matches the Rfam family "Bacterial small subunit ribosomal RNA", at positions 30 to 523 of the family's 1533-position model. The record is from RNAcentral.